Molecule: non-coding RNA, 73 nt
Organism: Stegodyphus mimosarum
Lineage: Eukaryota; Metazoa; Arthropoda; Arachnida; Araneae; Eresidae
Source: Rfam
GCGUUAGUGGUGUAGUGGUCAGCACGAUCGGCGAGUAACCGAUAGGUCCAUGGUUCGAUUCCCGGUGAAGGCG